This 212-nucleotide ribosomal RNA is filed under the name uncultured bacterium. RNAcentral's name for it is "partial 16S ribosomal RNA". It matches the Rfam family "Bacterial small subunit ribosomal RNA", at positions 29 to 244 of the family's 1533-position model. The record is from RNAcentral.
ACGAACGCUGGCGGCGUGCUUAACACAUGCAAGUCGAGCGGUAAGGCCCUUUCGGGGGUACACGAGCGGCGAACGGGUGAGUAACACGUGGGUGACCUGCCUUCAGCUCUGGGAUAAGCCUGGGAAACUGGGUCUAAUACCGGAUAUGACUCCAUGAUGCAUGUUGUGGGGUGAAAGCUUUUGCGGCUGGAGAUGGGCCCGCGGCCUAUCAG